ACCCAACACUGGCACUGCCGUACACUCACCAACAACUACACACGCGAUGAAGUCCGAGGGGCGAAGCAACGCCGGUUGACUGCUCGCGGUGCAGAAAAAGUGCGGACACGCAACUUACUGCGAUCCGAAGCCACAACGGAAGCACCUUUUGCCUUGGCCAAACCUUAUGCUACAAGUUACCACAACAAACAUGGCGGGGAGGAGAGCGGGCUCGCAAUCCCCCCAUGCUGCAACCUUUGGAGCCAUAAAACUAGCGAGGCAGCACAACGGCCAGUAAAAAUAGCCACCCACGAGGCUACCAAAAUGCCCACACCACGUACGAUUUCCAUGAGCCCUUCUUCGGAAGGGAUACACGAAAGCCAAGCAUCGAACCAAAAAGGCCGUGGCAGACUUUUUCCGGGCGUGCCAAGCACCGCGCAGAACCCCUGCCUACGCUCU
Molecule: unclassified non-coding RNA, 438 nt
Filed under: Allium jepsonii
Lineage: Eukaryota; Viridiplantae; Streptophyta; Magnoliopsida; Asparagales; Amaryllidaceae
Description: partial external transcribed spacer
Source: RNAcentral